This 443-nucleotide ribosomal RNA is filed under the name uncultured bacterium. RNAcentral describes it as "partial 16S ribosomal RNA". It matches the Rfam family "Bacterial small subunit ribosomal RNA", at positions 338 to 795 of the family's 1533-position model. The record is from RNAcentral.
CCUACGGGUGGCAGCAGUGGGGAAUAUUGCGCAAUGGGCGAAAGCCUGACGCAGCGACGCCGCGUGAAUGAUGAAGGUCCUCGGAUUGGAAAGUUCUUUUCAAAGGGAAGUAGAAAGUGACGGUACCUUAGGAAUAAGCCUCGGCUAACUACGUGCCAGCAGCCGCGGUGAUACGUAGGCGGCGGGCGUUAUCCGGAAGGACGGGGCGUAAGGGGUGCGUAGGUGGUUUGACAAGUUGGUAGCGUAACUCAGAGGCUCAACCUCGGCACUACUGCCAAAACUGGCGGACUUGAGUGCAUGAAGGGCAGUUGGAAUUCGUAGUGUAGCGGUGGAAUGCGCAGAUAUUAGGAGGAACCCCAGUGGCGAAGGCAGCCUGCUGGACGGUUACUGACGCUGAGGCUCGAAAGCGUGGGUAGCAAACAGGAUUAGAUACCCUAGUAGUC